This is a long non-coding RNA of Oncorhynchus keta (chum salmon), 2196 nucleotides long. RefSeq lists it as uncharacterized. The record is from RefSeq and is a predicted model, not a curated record. The transcript has 2 exons. Lineage: Eukaryota; Metazoa; Chordata; Actinopteri; Salmoniformes; Salmonidae.
GUGUGAGUGUUGACGAGGACAAGGCUGGAGAUCACUCUGCCAUGCUGAUUGAGUUCAAAUAACAGACUGGAAGCUUCAAAAGGACCUGAGCCCUAGGACCAUGCCCCAGGACUACCUGACAUGAUGACUCCUUGCUGUCCCCGGUCCACCUGAGUGUGCUGCUGCUCCAGUUUCAACUGUUCUGCCUUGUUAUUAUUCGACCAUGCUGGUCAUUUAUGAACAUUUGAACAUCUUGGCCAUGUUCUGUUAUAAUCUCCACCCGUCACAGCCAGAAGAGGACUGGCCACCCCACAUAGCCUGGUUCCUCUCUAGGUUUCUUCCUAGGUUUUGGCCUUUCUAGGGAGUUUUUCCUAGCCACCGUGCUUCUACACCUGCAUUGCUUGCUGUUUGGGGUUUUAGGCUGGGUUUCUGUACAGCACUUUGAGAUAUCAGCUGAUGUACGAAGGGCUAUAUAAAUACAUUUGAUUUGAUUUUGAUUUGAUUUAACCCAACAAUAGACUUCCGUAAAAGAUGACUGGGUUUCAACGUUUCUUUUUUUCAAUUAAUAGGGACAAAAUAGCAAAGUACAUUUUUGUCUCCUCCAAGAAUGUCAUAGACUAAUCAAUAUAUUCCCAUAUGCAGAGGUAUGUCUUUUGUGGGCCUUUUUAAAGCUUGUUUAUAGCAUAAGGCAUCAUGAAGUUAAGUAUUGUUAUAGAAUGCUUUAUAUGAUCUGGAUACCUUUUCUUUAUUUAUUUCAAAAUAUAAAGCUAACAAUAGGUAUCCUUUUAGCCCUUUUCUUUAACAAAGGAUAUGGCAUACAGUACCCUCAUUCAAUUUGAGCUCUGUUUUUAUACCGAAUACACCAAGUCCUUAUAUAAGAAAGGAAGCUAUACAGGGCAUUCAGAAAGUAUUCAGACCCUUCCACAUUUUGUUACGUUACAGCCUUAUUCUAAAAUGGAUUAAAUAAAUGUUUUCCACAUCAAUCUACACACAAUACCCCAUAAUGAAAAAGCGAAAACAGUUUUUUUAGAAAUGUUUUCAAAUGUAUUAAAUAUAAAAACCAGAUAUCUUACAAAGUAUACAAACCCUUUGCUAUGAGACUCGAAAUUGAGCUCAGGUGCAUCCUGUUUCUAUUGAUCAUCCUUGAGAAGUUUCUACAACUUGGUUGGGGUAAAUUCAAGAGCUCCUCUGUUGAGAUGGGAAAACCUUCCAGAAGGACAACCAUCUCUGCAGCACUCCACCAAUCAGACCUUUACGGUAGAGUGGCCAGACAGAAGCCACUCCUCAGUAAAAGGCACAUGACAGCCUGCUCGGAGUUUGCCAUAAGGCACCUAAAGGACUCUCAGACCAUGAGAAACAAGAUUAUCUGGUCUGAUGAAACCAAGAUUGAUCUCUUUUGCCUGAAUGCCAAGCGUCUCGUCUGGAGGAAACCUGGCACCAUCCCUACAGUAAAGCAUGGUGGUGGGCGCAUCAUGCUGCGGAGAUGUUUUUCAGCGGCAGGGACUGGGAGACUAGUCAGGUUCGAUGGAAAGAUGAACGGAGCAAAGUACAGAGAGAUCCUUGAUGAAAACCUGCUCCACAGCACUCAGGACCUCAGACUGGGGUGAAGGUUCACCUUCCAACAGGACAACAACCCUAAGCACACAGCCAAGACAACGCAGGAGUGGCUUCGGGACAAGUCUCUGAAUGUACUUGAGUGGCCCAUCCAGGGCCCAGAUUUGAAUCCGAUCGAACAUCUCUGGAGAGACCUGUAAAUAGCUGUGCAGCGACGCUCCCCAGUCAACCUGACAGAGCUUGAGAGGAUCUGUAGAGAAGAAUGGGAAAAACUCCCUAAAUACAGGUGUGCCAAGCUUGUAGCGACAUACACAAGAAGACUUGAGGCUGUAAUCGCUGCCAAAGGUUCUUCAGCAAAGUACUCAGUAAAGCAUCUGAAUACUUAUUUAAAUGUAAUAUUUUUAUUAAUCUGUUUUUGCUUUGUCACUAUGGGGUAUUGUGUGUAGACUGAUGAGGAGAUACAAAUGGAAUAAAAUUGAAUUUGAUUUUAGAAUAAGGCUGUAAUGUAACAAAAUGUGUAAAAAGUCAAGGGAAUACUUUCGAAUGCACUGUAUAUUUAGAACCCCUAUUAAUUCAAUUCCAUCUCUGUGGGCCUAGUAAUAAUGAUUUGUCAUUUAACUUUUAAAAUGUAUUAAAUUUUACUGGAGCAUAAACCCAACCCAA